GGGGUAUAUGGGGCACCCUGGGGCUCUGUAGGGAGUGUGUGUAUCUAUAUCCUGGGUGUACUGGGGGGUACAGAGAGUACAUGGGGUGUCCUGGGGGUACCUGGGGCACCCCGGGACUGUCUAAGGGGUACAAAGGCUGUCCUGGGGGUGCAUAGGGGCUGGUGGUGUCCCCAUUGUGGGGCUGCGGAGGUCCCAGCCUCCCUGCCGUGCCUCCCCAAUGCCAUAUCCUCACAGAGGAGUCCCGGCAGAGCACGGGCAGGGCGGCUGCGUUCCGCACCGUGCUGGUGAGGAUGGGCGGCCUCUUCAUCCUCCUGCUCACCGUGGGCCGAUGGACGGACAUCCUGCACCUCUUGGUGUCUCUGCUGGGGGAGUUCUGGUGCCUGCUGCGCUCCGGGGUCCUGCUGGAGUCCUGCUGGAGGCAGGAUUUUGCCCAGCAGCCUCGUGUGGAUAAUCUGUCGGGAUCCGGAUCCGAGGAAUCGUCCCGAUGAGCCGCAGGGCGGAACCGGACAGAGGAAAUAAACUCAGGGUGGCUUCGCUGGGCACCCCAGAAUCCCCCCAUCACAGAUCCCCCGUGGGGAAUAAGGAAAAAAGGGCUCCUGGAAGGAGUCCGACCCCAUCCCAUGGGAUGGAGGAGGUCGUGGGGAAGGCUCAUGUUGCCCCUGGUUUUUAGGGGGGUUCCAUGAGGUUGCAGCACUGCUGGGGUUUGUUCUCUGGUCCCAGUGGGAUUGCAGGAUGCUGAUGGAUGUCCCAUCAUUGCUGGCAGCUGGGCCACACUGUCAGGGGCCUCCAGGGGAUUAUAAAUCUCAGAAAAUAAAGGUGUUUUUUUUCCAGCAAAAUCCAUGGGCAGAGCAAGCUGGGGUCCCAUUGUGCUGGGAAGGCACUUGGGAUGGUGGGGGUGCAGAUUUUUGAGGGAAGUUGGUAGAAUUCCUCCGUGGGAAGGGAAGCUGAGGCACUGAGUGGGGUGACCCUCUGGCUGUGCCUCAGUUUCCCCCUGGCUGCACAUCACUGUGCAAGGGAACAACAGGCCCUGCGAAGGUGGGGUGCAGUGUGGGGAUGGGGGUUCUGGCUGCCUGGGCAUGGACUCCCAAUGCA
This 1092-nucleotide long non-coding RNA is filed under the name Taeniopygia guttata (zebra finch). Its description in RNAcentral is "lncRNA (ENSTGUG00000028565.1)". The record is from RNAcentral. Lineage: Eukaryota; Metazoa; Chordata; Aves; Passeriformes; Estrildidae.